UCCGGUUUGUCACCGGCAGUCAUCCUAGAGUGCCCAUCUUACUGCUGGCAACUAAGAUCAAGGGUUGCGCUCGUUGCGGGACUUAACCCAACAUCUCACGACACGAGCUGACGACAACCAUGCACCACCUGUCUCCCCUGUCCCGAAGGCCCAACUCAUCUCUGAGCUGUUCAGGGGGAUGUCAAGACCUGGUAAGGUUCUUCGCGUUGCUUCGAAUUAAACCACAUACUCCACUGCUUGUGCGGGUCCCCGUCAAUUCCUUUGAGUUUCAGUCUUGCGACCGUACUCCCCAGGCGGAAUGCUUAAUGUGUUAACUUCGGCACCAAGGGCAUCGAAGCCCCUGACACCUAGCAUUCAUCGUUUACGGCGUGGACUAC
Molecule: unclassified non-coding RNA, 377 nt
Filed under: uncultured Paenibacillaceae bacterium
Lineage: Bacteria; Bacillati; Bacillota; Bacilli; Caryophanales; Paenibacillaceae
Description: contains 16S-23S intergenic spacer region
Source: RNAcentral